CAAAUGAGUAAAAACACUUUUUCAUGCAAAAAUUAUUAUUUUUUUUAGAAAAUCUUUUAGAAAGCCCUUGCAAACCCUAAUUUCGUCAAAAAUACCCAACCUACUCCUAUACGAUAGAUAGCUUGACAACUAAGCAUGGUAAUCAAACCUCUAUAAGGACACAAAUCCUUUUUAAAGAGGGGGAAAAAAGAAUCACAAUUCCUAACCCACAUCUCUACCUUAAAGUAGGAGUGUUCAAAAUUCAAUCCAAUUUGCUCAAUCUGUCUAAUCUGCAAAAAUUUGAUUGUAAAAAGUUCAAUUUGUAGCUUGAUGGAUUGCAUUGGAUUGAAAAUUUAGAAAUAUGCAUUUGUUGGAUUGAAUAUGAAUUUACUUAUGUAAAUAUGCAAAAAUCCACGAACUUGAGAAAUAAAACAAUAUUUGUUUAAUUAAAAAAUAAAACUUGUAAAUAUGACAUUACUACUUGCUAAUAAAUAAAUAAGUUAAAAUGUAGUUAUAUUAACACCAUAUUAUAUCUUACAACAAAAAUAGCUUCCUAAACAGUUAAUUUUCAUAACUAAUUUUCAUGUAUUUAUCUAAACAAAUGAGAUUUUUUGUUUUCAAUGUUAUAUUUUGAAACUUUGAAUGUAUUGUUCUACCUUUAUUUAAACAAUUAAUUUAUUUAAAUCUUAUUCAAUUUUGAAUUUAGUCGGUAGUAAAAUUAUUUUUAUUUAAUUAGUUUGUGGAUUAGACAGAAUUAAAAGUUUUUAAUCUGCAAACAAAUUCGUAAAAUGAUAGAUUGGAUAUGGAUUGGGUCAAAUUUACAUUCAAUCCACAAAUGUAUGGAUUGGAUUUAGAUUGGAUUGAAAAUUUAUAAUCUGUAAAAUAACGGAUUGGAUAUGCAUUGAUGUCCAAUUCACAAAAUUAGAUGCACAAACACUCCGACCUUAAAGCUUAAGUUUCGAGCUAUAUCUCACAAAAAAGGUAAAAUCAUCACUAGUUAUUUAAAGAAUUUGUCAAAGGAUGGGAAUAUUUCCAUCCCACAAUUUAUAUAAACAUAUCCUAUUUAAAAAAAUUAUUUACGAAAAAUUCAUAUUAUUUUUUUUCGACAUUUAGAAAUAGAGAAAAAAAAGUUUAAACAGUCAAUUAAUUUGAACCUUUCUUUCACUAACUCUCUUGACUAUUGUCGACCAUUAAUGUUGACCUAACAUAAGGGUGGGACUAUUAAAACCUACCAACCUACUCACCAAACUUAUUAUUGAAAACAAAUUUUAACUAUUAAAAUAUCUCUAAAUUAAAUCAAAAUUAUGGACACUAAAAUAUACCAAAGAAAAAAUAAUUUUUUAUUAAGAAAAUUCAUAAAAAUUGCAUGACUGUUUUGUUUUAUAGAUAAAAAAUUCCAAUGAGUAAAAACACUAAAUUUAUACAAAUUAGUAAUGAUGAAUUCUAUACGUGAGGAUAAAAACAAAAAAAAAGACACCAAUUUCGUGUGGCUAUUUGUUUAGAAAACAGAAAGGUGCUAAAAAAUAAUAUAUUGUUGUUGUGUGUGUGUGUGUGUAUAGAAAUGUUGUUGGGUAGUUUUCAUUUGGGAACAGAAUAAGAAGACAAUAGAAGAAACAAAACAAAAUGAAAUCACUCCAAGUUGAAGUAUUAAAGAACUUGGUUGAUUUUUCAGUCCUAAAAUUUAAGCAGUGUGAUACGAGAUUAAUUUUGUUGGUGCAACAACCCGUGCAGGCACUUAGAUAAUUUUUAGCACAAAAGUUGCUAAGCAAGCCUAGAGAACUUCUCAAACUAGCUAAGCAAAGAUGUUUGCGAAAAUGUUAGAGAGAAGACAAUAAAAUUGUCAAAGUGAAUUUUAUUACUUCGAGAAUUUACAAGAGAGCUUUUUACAAGAGUGCUUGAGUUGCUUGUGUGCCGGUGUGGUUGUGUGUGAUAAACAAAAUGGUGGGUGUUAGGCUCUGUUUAUAGAGUUGGUUGCCUAGCUCUUAAAGCUUCCUAGCAAGUGGUACAACUUGCCUAAAUAUCUCAUAGGACUAGAAUGCAAAAAUAUAGAAAUUUUUAGGCAAUUACAAAUUGUAGAGAAAUUUAAAAUUUGGGCCGGGCUUGUUCACUUGUUGAGUGCACUACAGUUGGCUAGUUGUGUGAGGCGGGCCACUGCUGAGCACACUCUACUGUUAAGCGCAGACUACUUAUAGGCGGACUUUUACUGAACGUAUCGGUGCACGCCAAUUUAGCCUCUAUUGGUGGAAAAUUUGAGCAGAUCGUGACACGUAGCUCUAUAUUUGCUCACAAGGGAGAAUCUAUUAUUAAUGAAUUUAUCUUUAUCAUCAUUACUGAAAAAAUUAGUGUUUUUUUAUUAAUUAUAGGAAAAAUUUACUCAACAUGAAUUUCAUACUGCAAGAAUUAAUAAUGAGCCAUACAGUUAUGGGAUUUUGAUGAAAGGAAAAAUAAGUUCAUAAAAAACUGCAUCUAUAUGCAUUCAUAAGAUCUAAAUCAAUUAAUAGGGGUUUAUAAAUGAAUUUAAUGAAUAAAAACACUAAUUUUAUAUAAAUUGAGUUCAUUAAAGAUAUAUUGGGUAUUUAGGUGGGUUUGCUUAAGAAUAAGUUUAAUGAGUAGAGUGUUGGAUUUAAAUAGCCUCUCUUUUAACAUUAUUCUUAUUUGACUAGUUUACCAUUAUAAUAUAAAAUGACCAAUUCAUCCAAAAAUGUGAACUUUUGUGCCAUACUAAUUUAGGUACUUAAUUUUUCAUCAUAUAUAAUCUAACAUUUUUAAUACAAACUGAAUAAUAUUUCAUUUAUAAAUAGUAUAAAUUCAACAACCAAUAAAUUUCACGAGACAUUAUGUUACAAAUACUAUUU
This 2834-nucleotide long non-coding RNA is filed under the name Citrus x clementina. RNAcentral's name for it is "Citrus clementina (C. clementina) long non-coding RNA (CCLE_LNC002572)". The record is from RNAcentral. Lineage: Eukaryota; Viridiplantae; Streptophyta; Magnoliopsida; Sapindales; Rutaceae.